This 519-nucleotide ribosomal RNA is filed under the name uncultured bacterium. Its description in RNAcentral is "bacterial SSU rRNA". It matches the Rfam family "Bacterial small subunit ribosomal RNA", at positions 1 to 507 of the family's 1533-position model. The record is from RNAcentral.
AGACGUCUACGUAGUUUGAUCAGUGGCUACGAGAACGAACGCUCGGCGGCGCGCCUAACACAUGCAAGUCGAACGAGAAUCCGGGGCAACCCGGUAGUAAAGUGGCAAACGGGUGAGGAAUACAUGGGUAACCUGCCCUUGAGAAGGGAAUAACCCGCCGAAAGGUGAGCUAAUACCCUAUACGCUAUCUUUUUUUCGAAAAGGAUAGGAAAGCCAGGUCGAGGACCUGGUACUCAAGGAGGGGCUCAUGUCCUAUCAGCUUGUUGGUGGGGUAACGGCCUACCAAGGCUACGACGGGUAGCUGGUCUGAGAGGAUGAUCAGCCACACUGGCACUGAGAUACGGGCCAGACUCCUACGGGAGGCAGCAGUGAGGAAUAUUGCGCAAUGGGCGAAAGCCUGACGCAGCGACGCCGCGUGGGGGAUGAAGGUUUUCGGAUUGUAAACCCCUUUCAUGAGGAAAGAUAAAGUGGGUAACCACUUAGACGGUACCUCAAGAAGAAGCCACGGCUAACUUCGUG